UUAGUGCACACUCUACUAAUCUUUUGUUCAUCUGAAGAUAAAUUCACUCUGUUAUUUGCUCGUUUACCUUCUGAAACAUUAUUGGACAUCCUGUUUGCACAUGUUUUUUGCAUAUCAGCAUGCUGUUUUUUUUAUAACUUUAUUUAUUUAUUAUGUGCUUUUAAUCUGGUGGUCACACUGUAUGCUCUGUUUGUUAUUUAUGAUCAUUUAGUGUAAGCUUGCUGUUCUGAUAGGUACAUGGUCCUGGAGCUGACAUAGAUACGUUAUGUGUUGGGCCAUCCUAUGUGAAUAGGGAGGUAGAUUUCUUCUUUAUACUACAUGACAUUCUGGCUGAGAUGGAAGAAGUUACAGAACUGCAACCAGUUCCAAAUGCUCAUGUGCCAGUUAUGAAA
Molecule: non-coding RNA, 392 nt
Organism: Camellia sinensis
Lineage: Eukaryota; Viridiplantae; Streptophyta; Magnoliopsida; Ericales; Theaceae
Source: RefSeq, a predicted model, not a curated record